GCCCCCGGAGCAGAAUGGAGGUGUAAUUGUGCUAAGGAGUUAGCAGGGGAGAGCGCAGCUUUUGGUCACAUUCAAGUUGGAGGUCUUGAGCCAGGGAGGAGAUCCCGGUGAGUGGAGAAGGGAUUUCUCAAGCCCGUGAGCUCCUUGUUGUGCAGUUGGCUGCCACCUGCCUGGACUCGCUGGCUGAUGCCUCCAGGAUCCUCCAGGAGGGUCCCAACCUGCUGCAGCGAUGGCACCGCGAGGAGGAAGCUCAUGAACAGAGGGUUCCUGCAGUGCCUCGCAUCCCACCGCUGCGGGGAGGGACGGGGAACCAAGGGAAAACCCCACCUAACUCCUGUACACCUCCGGUACCCCAAACACCCCCAGCAGGACCACAGCGCUCAGAGAGAUCUGAGCAAGCCACAGCUCCAAAAUGCUGGGUGCACGAAGUGGGCAGGAGGCAGGUCGGAGCUGGCCGGACCCUGCUUUCAGCAGGUUUUUGAGGUUGGGCUCUGCUCAUGGAGCAGGGCUUGGCCCUUGCUGCUCAACCACAGGGCACCGAGUGUGUGUGGAGCCCCCAGGACUGUGACCAUCUCCGGGCCAGGCAGCCCUGCUGCUGCUUUCUUGCACUGUAAAAAAAAAAAAAAAAAAAAGAACAAAAAAUAAAAAUAAAAAGGAGAGGUGAGAGGCUGGGAUAUGGUGG
This 682-nucleotide long non-coding RNA is filed under the name Anas platyrhynchos platyrhynchos (common mallard). RNAcentral describes it as "lncRNA (ENSAPLG00000018918.1)". The record is from RNAcentral. Lineage: Eukaryota; Metazoa; Chordata; Aves; Anseriformes; Anatidae.